This 63-nucleotide transfer RNA is filed under the name Sinanodonta tumens. Its description in RNAcentral is "tRNA-Val". The record is from RNAcentral. Lineage: Eukaryota; Metazoa; Mollusca; Bivalvia; Unionida; Unionidae.
CAAAAAGUAGUAUACUUAUUACAUCUCGCUUACACCGAGCAAAAGGUUCCAAACCCUUUUUGA